UAACACAUUAAGCACUCCGCCUGGGGAGUACGGUCGCAAGACUGAAACUCAAAGGAAUUGACGGGGACCCGCACAAGCAGGGGAGUAUGUGGUUUAAUUCGAAGCAACGCGAAAAACCUUACCAGGUCUUGACAUCCGAAUGACCGGCGCAGAGAUGUACCUUUCCUUCGGAACAUUCAAGACAGGUGGUGCAUGGUUGUCGUCAGCUCGUGUCGUGAGAUGUUGGGUUAAGUCCCGCAACGAGCGCAACCCUUAUAUUUAGUUGCCAGCACUUCGGGUGGGCACUCUAGAUAGACUGCCGGUGACAAACCGGAGGAAGGUGGGGAUGACGUCAAAUCAUCAUGCCCCUUAUGACCUGGGCUACACACGUACUACAAUGGCCGGUACAACGGGGUGCSAAAUCGCGAGAUGGAGCCAAUCCCAACAAAGCCGGUCUCAGUUCGGAUUGCAGGCUGCAACUCGCYUGCAUGAAGUCGGAAUUGCUAGUAAUCGCGGAUCAACAUGCCGCGGUGAAUACGUUCCCGGGUCUUGUACACACCGCCCGUCACACCCCGAGAGUUUAUAACACCCGAAGU
RNAcentral lists this ribosomal RNA (575 nucleotides) under Paenibacillus amylolyticus. RNAcentral describes it as "bacterial SSU rRNA". Lineage: Bacteria; Bacillati; Bacillota; Bacilli; Caryophanales; Paenibacillaceae. The record is from RNAcentral.